This 102-nucleotide ribosomal RNA is filed under the name human gut metagenome. The record is from RNAcentral.
AGCAGAAGGACACCACCCGUUCCCAUCCCGAACACGGUCGUAAAGACUUCUUGCGCCGACAAUACUCGGAGGGUAGCCUCCCGGAAAGAUAGGUCGUUGCUG